UGCUGGAGGUAUCAGAAGUGCGAAUGCUGACAUAAGUAACGAUAAAGCGGGUGAAAAGCCCGCUCGCCGGAAGACCAAGGGUUCCUGUCCAACGUUAAUCGGGGCAGGGUGAGUCGACCCCUAAGGCGAGGCCGAAAGGCGUAGUCGAUGGGAAACAGGUUAAUAUUCCUGUACUUGGUGUUACUGCGAAGGGGGGACGGAGAAGGCUAUGUUGGCCGGGCGACGGUUGUCCCGGUUUAAGCGUGUAGGCUGGUUUUCCAGGCAAAUCCGGAAAAUCAAGGCUGAGGCGUGAUGACGAGGCACUACGGUGCUGAAGCAACAAAUGCCCUGCUUCCAGGAAAAGCCUCUAAGCAUCAGGUAACAUUAAAUCGUACCCCAAACCGACACAGGUGGUCAGGUAGAGAAUACCAAGGCGCUUGAGAGAACUCGGGUGAAGGAACUAGGCAAAAUGGUGCCGUAACUUCGGGAGAAGGCACGCUGAUAUGUAGGUGAAGUCCCUCGCGGAUGGAGCUGAAAUCAGUCGAAGAUACCAGCUGGCUGCAACUGUUUAUUAAAAACACAGCACUGUGCAAACACGAAAGUGGACGUAUACGGUGUGACGCCUGCCCGGUGCCGGAAGGUUAAUUGAUGGGGUUAGCGGUAACGCGAAGCUCUUGAUCGAAGCCCCGGUAAACGGCGGCCGUAACUAUAACGGUCCUAAGGUAGCGAAAUUCCUUGUCGGGUAAGUUCCGACCUGCACGAAUGGCGUAAUGAUGGCCAGGCUGUCUCCACCCGAGACUCAGUGAAAUUGAACUCGCUGUGAAGAUGCAGUGUACCCGCGGCAAGACGGAAAGACCCCGUGAACCUUUACUAUAGCUUGACACUGAACAUUGAGCCUUGAUGUGUAGGAUAGGUGGGAGGCUUUGAAGUGUGGACGCCAGUCUGCAUGGAGCCGACCUUGAAAUACCACCCUUUAAUGUUUGAUGUUCUAACGUUGACCCGUAAUCCGGGUUGCGGACAGUGUCUGGUGGGUAGUUUGACUGGGGCGGUCUCCUCCUAAAGAGUAACGGAGGAGCACGAAGGUUGGCUAAUCCUGGUCGGACAUCAGGAGGUUAGUGCAAUGGCAUAAGCCAGCUUGACUGCGAGCGUGACGGCGCGAGCAGGUGCGAAAGCAGGUCAUAGUGAUCCGGUGGUUCUGAAUGGAAGGGCCAUCGCUCAACGGAUAAAAGGUACUCCGGGGAUAACAGGCUGAUACCGCCCAAGAGUUCAUAUCGACGGCGGUGUUUGGCACCUCGAUGUCGGCUCAUCACAUCCUGGGGCUGAAGUAGGUCCCAAGGGUAUGGCUGUUCGCCAUUUAAAGUGGUACGCGAGCUGGGUUUAGAACGUCGUGAGACAGUUCGGUCCCUAUCUGCCGUGGGCGCUGGAGAACUGAGGGGGGCUGCUCCUAGUACGAGAGGACCGGAGUGGACGCAUCACUGGUGUUCGGGUUGUCAUGCCAAUGGCACUGCCCGGUAGCUAAAUGCGGAAGAGAUAAGUGCUGAAAGCAUCUAAGCACGAAACUUGCCCCGAGAUGAGUUCUCC
This 1560-nucleotide ribosomal RNA is filed under the name Escherichia coli. RNAcentral describes it as "partial 23S ribosomal RNA". It matches the Rfam family "Bacterial large subunit ribosomal RNA", at positions 1271 to 2814 of the family's 2925-position model. The record is from RNAcentral. Lineage: Bacteria; Pseudomonadati; Pseudomonadota; Gammaproteobacteria; Enterobacterales; Enterobacteriaceae.